RNAcentral lists this ribosomal RNA (253 nucleotides) under uncultured bacterium. RNAcentral's name for it is "partial 16S ribosomal RNA". It matches the Rfam family "Bacterial small subunit ribosomal RNA", at positions 524 to 776 of the family's 1533-position model. The record is from RNAcentral.
UACAGAGGUCCCGAGCGUUGUUCGGAUUCACUGGGCGUAAAGGGUGCGUAGGUGGCAUGGUAAGUUUGAUGUGAAAGCUCAGGGCUCAACCCUGAAAUGGCAUUGAAUACUACUGUGCUGGAGGUGUGGAGGGGGGACUGGAAUUCUUGGUGUAGCAGUGAAAUGCGUAGAUAUCAAGAGGAACACCAGUGGCGAAGGCGAGUCCCUGGACAACACCUGACACUGAGGCACGAAAGCUAGGGGAGCAAACAGG